This 253-nucleotide ribosomal RNA is filed under the name uncultured bacterium. Its description in RNAcentral is "partial 16S ribosomal RNA". It matches the Rfam family "Bacterial small subunit ribosomal RNA", at positions 524 to 776 of the family's 1533-position model. The record is from RNAcentral.
UACAGAGGGUGCAAGCGUUGUUCGGAAUUAUUGGGCGUAAAGCGCGCGCAGGCGGUCCUUUAAGUCUGAUGUGAAAGCCCACGGCUCAACCGUGGAGGGUCAUUGGAAACUGGGGGACUUGAGUGCAGAAGAGGAGAGUGGAAUUCCACGUGUAGCGGUGAAAUGCGUAGAGAUGUGGAGGAACACCAGUGGCGAAGGCGACUCUCUGGUCUGUAACUGACGCUGAGGCGCGAAAGCGUGGGGAGCGAACAGG